CUGCCCAAGAGACUGGGAUAACACCUGGAAACAGAUGCUAAUACCGGAUAACAACACUAGACGCAUGUCUAGAGUUUGAAAGAUGGUUCUGCUAUCACUCUUGGAUGGACCUGCGGUGCAUUAGCUAGUUGGUAAGGUAACGGCUUACCAAGGCAAUGAUGCAUAGCCGAGUUGAGAGACUGAUCGGCCACAUUGGGACUGAGACACGGCCCAAACUCCUACGGGAGGCAGCAGUAGGGAAUCUUCCACAAUGGACGAAAGUCUGAUGGAGCAACGCCGCGUGAGUGAAGAAGGGUUUCGGCUCGUAAAGCUCUGUUGGUAGUGAAGAAAGAUAGAGGUAGUAACUGGCCUUUAUUUGACGGUAAUUACUUAGAAAGUCACGGCUAACUAUGUGCCAGCAGCCGCGGUAAUACGUAGGUGGCAAGCGUUGUCCGGAUUUAUUGGGCGUAAAGCGAGUGCAGGCGGUUCAAUAAGUCUGAUGUGAAAGCCUUCGGCUCAACCGGAGAAUUGCAUCAGAAACUGUUGAACUUGAGUGCAGAAGAGGAGAGUGGAACUCCAUGUGUAGCGGUGGAAUGCGUAGAUAUAUGGAAGAACACCAGUGGCGAAGGCGGCUCUCUGGUCUGCAACUGACGCUGAGGCUCGAAAGCAUGGGUAGCGAACAGGAUUAGAUACCCUGGUAGUCCAUGCCGUAAAC
RNAcentral lists this ribosomal RNA (694 nucleotides) under uncultured bacterium. RNAcentral describes it as "bacterial SSU rRNA". It matches the Rfam family "Bacterial small subunit ribosomal RNA", at positions 126 to 807 of the family's 1533-position model. The record is from RNAcentral.